CUGCGGAGGAUCAUUACCGAGAGGGGCUCUGCCCCAGGGGACCUUGGUCCCCGUCUCUCCAACCUGUGAUUAUCUUCCAUUUGUUGCUUUGGCGGGUGCGAGAGCCCCCGCCAAAAGCCUUUUUCUACUCGAUUUUAAAACGCGUCCGAGUCCAUUACAAAUAUUCUAAAACUUUCAACAACGGAUCUCUUGGUUCUGGCAUCGAUGAAGAACGCAGCGAAAUGCGAUAAGUAAUGUGAAUUGCAGAAUUCAGUGAAUCAUCGAAUCUUUGAACGCACAUUGCGCCCUCUGGUAUUCCAGGGGGCAUGCCUGUCCGAGCGUCAUUAUCACCUCAAGCGUAGCUUGGUAUUGGGCGUCGCCCCUCUCGGGGCGUGCCUGAAAAGUAGUGGGUGUCCGGUGGGACUUUGAGCGUAGUAAUCUUUUCCCGCUCCAGAAGCUCUCUCCACGGUACCUAGAAUUCUUUCUUUAUAGAAUCGACCUCGGAUCAGGUAGGGAUACCCGCUGA
RNAcentral lists this ribosomal RNA (505 nucleotides) under uncultured Lecanorales. RNAcentral's name for it is "eukaryotic LSU rRNA". The stretch from base 170 to 323 matches the Rfam family "5.8S ribosomal RNA". The record is from RNAcentral. Lineage: Eukaryota; Fungi; Ascomycota; Lecanoromycetes.